Molecule: long non-coding RNA, 819 nt
Organism: Humulus lupulus (European hop)
Lineage: Eukaryota; Viridiplantae; Streptophyta; Magnoliopsida; Rosales; Cannabaceae
Exons: 4
Source: RefSeq, a predicted model, not a curated record
UCCAUGAAUGGACCUUAGGUUAAAUUUUAUUAUGUGAUUAAUUAAAUUAAAUGUGAGAGACAUUUAAUUUAAUUAAUUAAUGUUAAGUUUGGUGAUUAAAACUUAAGAAGAGUGAAAAAGGUGUCAAAAGCCAAUUUGGACUUUUCUUCUUAUGAAACAUUUAUUAACCUUUAUUAAAAAUAAAAAAAAAUGAAAUGAUCAUAUAUGGCAAAGGGUUGGCCGGCCAUGUGGUGUUUUAGGUGGUGUGAACCCAACUUAAUAAAGAUAAAAUCCCAUUUUAAUUAAAAAGUCAAGUGGGCAAGUGGGAGUAAAACACUUGAGUGUUUUUUUUGAGAUAAAUUAGAUACCAUAAACUCUUCUAACCCCCCUAAGGAACUGACCACUCUCCCUCUCUCAUUCACUAUCAUCUUUUUUUGAAGACCUCUCAAAGUGUUCUCUCCAUUUUUCAAGCCCAAGAACACCAAGGAAACUUUGAGGCUAAGUCUUGGUCUAGGAAGUAUUUUCCCUAAGUUUGUUAGGGUUUUUGAAAGGUUUUGAAGGAGUCAAAGCUUAUAGGAAGGUCCAACCCUUAAGCAAGAACACCAAAGAGUAUUGGCUAAGCGUAACUGGACUGAACGUUGGAGGGUGAAAACCUGCUGAGCGCUAAGGACUCCAAGUAAGAGCAAGGGCAAGGCAGAGCAGUGAGCGCUGGAGUCUUCCUUGCAAAUGUACAUGUGGACCGACCUUUUGGGAAGCCUUUUUAUUUUUGGAAAUGUUGUGAAAUUUUCCUAAACUAGGCUCACUCUAAUCUUUAUAAAACAUGUUUGUAACUAAAUGUUA